RNAcentral lists this ribosomal RNA (429 nucleotides) under bacterium. RNAcentral describes it as "partial 16S ribosomal RNA". It matches the Rfam family "Bacterial small subunit ribosomal RNA", at positions 355 to 776 of the family's 1533-position model. The record is from RNAcentral.
UAGGGAAUCUUCCACAAUGGACGCAAGUCUGAUGGAGCAACGCCGCGUGAGUGAAGAAGGUUUUCGGAUCGUAAAGCUCUGUUGUUGGUGAAGAAGGAUAGAGGCAGUAACUGGUCUUUAUUUGACGGUAAUCAACCAGAAAGUCACGGCUAACUACGUGCCAGCAGCCGCGGUAAUACGUAGGUGGCAAGCGUUGUCCGGAUUUAUUGGGCGUAAAGCGAGCGCAGGCGGAAUGAUAAGUCUGAUGUGAAAGCCCACGGCUCAACCGUGGCACUGCAUCGGAAACUGUCAUUCUUGAGUGCAGAAGAGGAGAGUGGAAUUCCAUGUGUAGCGGUGGAAUGCGUAGAUAUAUGGAAGAACACCAGUGGCGAAGGCGGCUCUCUGGUCUGCAACUGACGCUGAGGCUCGAAAGCAUGGGUAGCGAACAGG